This is a long non-coding RNA of Glycine soja, 637 nucleotides long. RefSeq lists it as uncharacterized. Lineage: Eukaryota; Viridiplantae; Streptophyta; Magnoliopsida; Fabales; Fabaceae. The transcript has 2 exons. The record is from RefSeq and is a predicted model, not a curated record.
UAGUUAACUUCAAGAAUCAUUUUAGUGUAUUCAUUUUACUUCUUUCCCUGCUCCAAGAUCUGCUGCCUCCCCCAUCCCUACCUCGACGAUUAGCACCUGUCUACCUCGCUGAUGCUUUCUGUCUCCUUUUGGCACGGUGGUUGUUUGUCUCUGCUCCCUCUUUCUACUCGACGCGGUUCACGGUGUCUCCCUCCCUCGUACUCUACGUGCACUCUCUGAAUCCGAUUUUCAGCAUAUUAAUGGCAAUUUGUUAAGUGUUGGAACAUGGUUUUGAAUGUACGGUGUUAUGUAAACAAGACCAAUUUUGAAAGCUGAGGAAAGAUAGUUAGAUACUUGAUAACAAUUGAGUAUGUGCUCUUUAGGGAGACUCUCAGUGGCUAUGUAUUGAGGGAGUUCAGUUGAUACAAAUUUAUGGGGGCAAGCACAUGCAUAAGCAAACUGUGGUGGACAAGGCCUAAUCUGCAACUUGUGAAGACUUAGUCAUUUGAAUUGAGUUUGUGAAGGUGUAUUUAAAAGUAAUAUGUAGCUUGGAUACCUCAUCAAUUGAGAUUUUUUUGAAUUGAGGUGGCAAGCUGGUUUUUAAUAUGAUUCAUGGAGGCUAAUUAGCAACAAAUGAUUCAUAUGAUGAGAAGUUACA